Molecule: unclassified non-coding RNA, 585 nt
Filed under: Hevea brasiliensis (rubber tree)
Lineage: Eukaryota; Viridiplantae; Streptophyta; Magnoliopsida; Malpighiales; Euphorbiaceae
Source: RNAcentral
GUUUGGGUGUCCCUCCCCAUCCUAGUUUGGUGUGUAGAUAGUGUUGGUUCCGAUUUUGGUUUCUGAGCUUGAUGGAGCUUUCAUGGUGCGGGAGACCUGCAUCAAUUUUCAAGCUUUGAGAAGAGCUGGGUUGUAAAACUCUAGUUCUGUUUGUGGUUCUUGGGGCUUUGAAGCUUCUAUCAUCUUGACGGGGAAGAUAUUUGCAUGGGUUGAUGUUGGUAUCUCCGGGAUUAGCCUUACACUAUUGCUGAAGUUGGUCCCGAAAAUUAUAUGAGAUUGAGAUACCGAGAGCUCUACUGCGUCGCUUUCCUAGCUAUGGCAAUGGAUCUAAUUUGAUCAGGAAGAAGGUUCAAUAUUGAUGGGGUUGAAGCAAGGGUUUAAUGGUUGUGCAGGGUCUCUUUGAGAUCUCUCAAAUGUUGGUAGCUUCAAUCUCACCAGUGAUCCAGUUUAGCAUAGCAGGAGAAUAGAACUUCGGUCUGCCUUAGAUACGACGGCGUAAUUUUCCUCUGUAAUCCUAGGAUUUCUGGUAGGAUUGUGGACAGGGUUAGCUGUGUAAGGGUGGAUGCUGAGCUAGGCUUAGAGCUU